GAUCAUGGCUCAGAUUGAACGCUGGCGGCAGGCUUAACACAUGCAAGUCGAGCGGAGCGAGGGUGCUUGCACCUUAGCUUAGCGGCGGACGGGUGAGUAAUGCUUAGGAAUCUGCCUAUUAGUGGGGGACAACAUUCCGAAAGGAAUGCUAAUACCGCAUACGCCCUACGGGGGAAAGCAGGGGAUCUUCGGACCUUGCGCUAAUAGAUGAGCCUAAGUCGGAUUAGCUAGUUGGUGGGGUAAAGGCCUACCAAGGCGACGAUCUGUAGCGGGUCUGAGAGGAUGAUCCGCCACACUGGGACUGAGACACGGCCCAGACUCCUACGGGAGGCAGCAGUGGGGAAUAUUGGACAAUGGGCGCAAGCCUGACCCAGCCAUGCCGCGUGUGUGAAGAAGGCCUUUUGGUUGUAAAGCACUUUAAGCGAGGAGGAGGCUACUUAGAUUAAUACUCUAGGAUAGUGGACGUUACUCGCAGAAUAAGCACCGGCUAACUCUGUG
RNAcentral lists this ribosomal RNA (498 nucleotides) under uncultured bacterium. RNAcentral's name for it is "bacterial SSU rRNA". It matches the Rfam family "Bacterial small subunit ribosomal RNA", at positions 15 to 507 of the family's 1533-position model. The record is from RNAcentral.